This 433-nucleotide ribosomal RNA is filed under the name uncultured bacterium. RNAcentral's name for it is "partial 16S ribosomal RNA". It matches the Rfam family "Bacterial small subunit ribosomal RNA", at positions 29 to 507 of the family's 1533-position model. The record is from RNAcentral.
AACGAACGCUGGCGACAUGCCUAACACAUGCAAGUCGAACGAGACCUUCGGGUCUAGUGGCGCACGGGUGCGUAACGCGUGGGAACCUGCCCUUAGGUUCGGAAUAACUCCCCGAAAGGGGUGCUAAUACCGGAUAAUGCCUUCGGACCAAAGAUUUAUCGCCCUUGGAUGGGCCCGCGUUGGAUUAGCUAGUUGGUAGGGUAAAAGCCUACCAAGGCGACGAUCCAUAGCUGGUCUGAGAGGAUGAUCAGCCACACUGGGACUGAGACACGGCCCAGACUCCUACGGGAGGCAGCAGUGGGGAAUAUUGGACAAUGGGCGAAAGCCUGAUCCAGCAAUGCCGCGUGAGUGAUGAAGGCCUUAGGGUUGUAAAGCUCUUUUACCCGGGAUGAUAAUGACAGUACCGGGAGAAUAAGCUCCGGCUAACUCCGUG